GCAUCCGUAGCUCAGCUGGAUAGAGCGCUGCCCUCCGGAGGCAGAGGUCAGAGGUUCGAAUCCUCUCGGGUGCGCCA
RNAcentral lists this transfer RNA (77 nucleotides) under Salinisphaera sp. G21_0. RNAcentral describes it as "tRNA-Arg". It matches the Rfam family "tRNA". Rfam says of the family: Transfer RNA (tRNA) molecules are approximately 80 nucleotides in length. Their secondary structure includes four short double-helical elements and three loops (D, anti-codon, and T loops). Further hydrogen bonds mediate the characteristic L-shaped molecular structure. tRNAs have two regions of fundamental functional importance: the anti-codon, which is responsible for specific mRNA codon recognition, and the 3' end, to which the tRNAs corresponding amino acid is attached (by aminoacyl-tRNA synthetases). tRNAs cope with the degeneracy of the genetic code in two manners: having more than one tRNA (with a specific anti-codon) for a particular amino acid; and 'wobble' base-pairing, i.e. permitting non-standard base-pairing at the 3rd anti-codon position. The record is from RNAcentral. Lineage: Bacteria; Pseudomonadati; Pseudomonadota; Gammaproteobacteria; Salinisphaerales; Salinisphaeraceae.